CGGCACCAAACAGCCCCACGCCGGGGCCAGCGCACACCGGGGCCAGUGCCGCGGCUCCCCGAGGGUCUCAGGAGAACGCUGACACUUCGGGAGCAUCACCCCGGGCCCUUCGGCCCUGGCCCGGGCGGUGCUGUCCUGGCCUCGGGCUGCCCGCACAACUCGGAGCGGUUUCCCUGCGGACAGAGGGACAGCUCGCCCCAGGGGUUACAGCAUCUGCGCUGAACGGACAAACCGCUUCCAAACCCACUGCGCAUAUUCACACCAUCAUUAGCAUCAGUUUAACCAGACUGCCUUGAACUGGACCAGGCUAAGUUUUUUCUCCCUAACUCUGCUUCUGUCAUGGCACUUCCAUGCUUUCCACAGAACGGCAGUGUUAUUUUUAGUUUCCCUGUGCUGCUUUUUAUUCACUUUUAAAUAUCUUAGAAUAGCUCCAUGCAGACUAAUCUACUGUGUUUUGCUCAUAUUCACAGGACAUAGUUUUGUCAGGCAACUGAGAUGCAGAAAAAUCCUGGGACAGAUUUCUGUGACAUAGACUUCACCAAGACAAUAAUAACUUUGCUGCAAGUCAUAACCUCUGACACUUCAGCUACUCUUUCACUUCUGCUGGAAUGAUUACAGUCCUAUUGUGGAAAAUAAUCCAUUCUGCAGACAAGAAUAGUAUGCUACACAGCUGUCACUCUUUAGGUAGGAAGGCAAAGAGGAAUGUGCUAUUCAUGCAGUUGAAUACAGAGCAGAAGAGAUCAGCCUUCAGAGGAACUGUAGGAACAGCUGCCAUGCACCAAGCCUUACACUUGUUUCUGAUGUUCCACUAAAGAAGUACAGACCUUCUUUGACCUUUGUUUUUGACCUUUAUUUUUGUUGUUGUUUUUUCAUGUCUGGUAAAGCAGGUCAGGGACCCCAGCUAAGACCUCCCAGGUGCACAGUGCUGUAGAGACACUGCAAGAAGAGAGAGUUGACCUUGAUAAAAAUGGGAGAGAGAAAAAUUAUUCCCACUGUCAUAUCUGUCCAUGCUAGGAAGGGACGACCAAAAAGACCAGUAAAUGUGAGCAAUGCCAAGCAGUGUAUCUGUGAAGAGCCAGGAACCAAAUGCAUCAUUGCAAACCCCUUUUAGUUCUCCAAUCCUUCAUUUGUAAAUUUCUCCAUUUUUUUUUUGCCAUCCAAAUUAUUUAAUAGUGUAAUCUAGAGCUUUAACUCAGUAUCAGAGAAUUCAGUGAAAAGAAUUGUUUUCUACUGACUCCAGUUAGCUUUAAAAGAGUCAGGUAGACUUUCUUAAUUUUUAUCAAUCUAUGUGUGGACUCACCCACGUCCAU
This 1310-nucleotide long non-coding RNA is filed under the name Cyanistes caeruleus (blue tit). Its description in RNAcentral is "lncRNA (ENSCCEG00000020793.1)". The record is from RNAcentral. Lineage: Eukaryota; Metazoa; Chordata; Aves; Passeriformes; Paridae.